This 260-nucleotide ribosomal RNA is filed under the name Enterococcus faecalis. Its description in RNAcentral is "partial 16S ribosomal RNA". It matches the Rfam family "Bacterial small subunit ribosomal RNA", at positions 465 to 724 of the family's 1533-position model. Lineage: Bacteria; Bacillati; Bacillota; Bacilli; Lactobacillales; Enterococcaceae. The record is from RNAcentral.
UCCCCUGACGGUAUCUAACCAGAAAGCCACGGCUAACUACGUGCCAGCAGCCGCGGUAAUACGUAGGUGGCAAGCGUUGUCCGGAUUUAUUGGGCGUAAAGCGAGCGCAGGCGGUUUCUUAAGUCUGAUGUGAAAGCCCCCGGCUCAACCGGGGAGGGUCAUUGGAAACUGGGAGACUUGAGUGCAGAAGAGGAGAGUGGAAUUCCAUGUGUAGCGGUGAAAUGCGUAGAUAUAUGGAGGAACACCAGUGGCGAAGGCGG